AGGAGAGCCCGGAGCCGGAUCCACUCUCAGCCUCAGGAAGCAGCAGCCUCCGCUCCGCGGCGGGUGUGCUCGGCAGUCACAGACCCACUCAGGACACCUCCCGUUGCCGACGGGCUAGACCUGCCUUAAAGGGGUCCCCGUGUCUCUCCAGUCUAGAGCCUAAGUUCAAACGAGGCGUAUAGGCGAGGACAGCAGGAAGGCUCCAAGUCAAACAAACGGAUGCCCACAGGGAAGUGGUCUUGGGAAACCUGAAGACACUGGGAUAUUCAGAAGGCCAAGGGGAUCCAGCUUAUCCUGUUGGGCAAGGUGCUGGGAGUGAAGGCAGGAACUACCAAAGCCACGGAUCAGCUGAGUUACCCGGGCUAAUAGCAGGAGGAAACAGUGUCAGAGAGGGAUCUGGCUGAUCUUCAACUCCACUAAGUUCUCCCCAAGGUAUAGCCAUCCUUAUCAUCAAACCCUCUUUUCUGGUAUUCUCUCAAUCCAGUCUUUCAUACUCUAUUCCCCCACCAUGUAAUCUGCAUCCUUUCAUUUUUCUUUUCCACUUCCCUUACCACUGAUCCCAUCAUUACCAUAUUUUCCUCAUACCUUCUUCCCCUCGAAGUCGCUCAGCCUGUCCACGCUCAAUCAAAGCCUCAGCCUCCUUCACAAAUGCCACUAAACCCCCAAAAGGGGGAGACAGCAACUCUUCAAUGAAUUCCUGGAAAGACACAAACACAUAUACACAGGUGUCCUGGUGUCAGCAGAUUUGCCCAAUUCUGGCAUCAUGACUAAUGUAGAUCCAUCUGAAUGGCAUCUUUCAGCUGCUGCAAAAGUUAAGGAAAAUCCUCUAUGGAGAAAAAUAUCCUCAAUCCUAAUUUUGGCCCAUACAGUUCCCCUGGUUAAGAUCAAACAAUGAACUCAAAGAUCACUAGACACAAAAGAAGGGCAGCUACCAAGAGAGUCAGCAGACACAAUAAGCAAUAGCUGCUGACCUUAAGAACUAUCCGAUACGGAUAGCAGUUGUACUGUGUGCAAUGUCUAAAGUUAAGGAUAGGCCGGGCACAGUGGCUCACGCCUGUAAUCCCAGCACUUUGGGAGGCUGAGGUGGGCAGAUCACCUGAGGUCAGGAGUUCAAGACCAGCCUGGCCAACAUGAUGAAACCCCAUCUCUACUAAAAAUACAAAAAUUAGCUGGGCAUGAUGGUGGAUGCCU
RNAcentral lists this long non-coding RNA (1191 nucleotides) under Homo sapiens (human). RNAcentral describes it as "HLA complex group 25". The record is from RNAcentral. Lineage: Eukaryota; Metazoa; Chordata; Mammalia; Primates; Hominidae.